Molecule: long non-coding RNA, 860 nt
Organism: Sorghum bicolor (sorghum)
Lineage: Eukaryota; Viridiplantae; Streptophyta; Magnoliopsida; Poales; Poaceae
Exons: 2
Source: RefSeq, a predicted model, not a curated record
CCCUAGUCGCCUCUUCCUCGCCAGAGGCGGUGCCAGCCCUCGGCGCUCCCCGUUGGGUGCUGUGCCGGUGGCGCGGGUGGCCGCCCCCGCCGCGGGGGCCUGAUGGCCGCCCUCCCUGGGCACGACGCGCCCAACCGAGCCCUGCCGGUGGUUGACGGCGCGGCUGCCCCCUUCUGUAAGUAUGUAUGAGUUGAUCCGCGGACGCUUGACGAACCCUAGUCGCCUCUUCCUCACCGGAGGCGGUGCUAGCCCUCGGCGCUCCCCGUUGGGUGCUGUGCCGGUGGCGCGGGUGGCCGCCCCCGCCGCGGGGGCCCUGAUGGCCGCCCUCCCCGGGCACAACGCGCCCAACCGAGCCCUACCGGUGGUUGACGGCGCGGCUGCCCCCUUCCAAAAGGUACAAUACUCGAAUUGAAAUUUGAGCGCAUCAAAAAGCAAUUUAUGAUGCUCCAGAUGAGAGUAUGCUAUUUAGUAGAUGAGAACCAAUUCAACUGUGAUUGCUGGUAACUGAAAGCUGGCCUGCAGAGUGGAUUGGUGACUAUAGUCUGCUAGCUAAACUUAAAAGUGUUACUGUGUGAGAUGAAGGGAAGUAGCUUCCCAAAUUUAUUUGGGUCCUUCAAAAUCCAUUGUUUAUCAGGUGCAUGAUCAUAGCAUGCCUGCUAAAAAAGAUACCAGAACACUCUCAUGUCAAUUUCAAGGUUGGCUCCAAUUCAAUAAGAUAAUAGCCUGAAUACUUUUAGUUUCACUGUUGGACAACUGUAGUUACCUAAGAGUUCCCUAAUUGGUAAGUAGCUAAUUUUUAGAAGUGAUUUAUAGGUAUAGAAUGGCAAGGGCAAUAUAGAUGGAGCCAUUGAAAUUUUCAA